ACGGGAGGCAGCAGUGGGGAAUAUUGCACAAUGGGGGAAACCCUGAUGCAGCGACGCCGCGUGAGUGAAGAAGUAUUUCGGUAUGUAAAGCUCUAUCAGCAGGAAAGAAAAUGACGGUACCUGACUAAGAAGCCCCGGCUAACUACGUGCCAGCAGCCGCGGUAAUACGUAGAGGGCAAGCGUUAUCCGGAUUUACUGGGUGUAAAGGGAGCGUAGACGGUAAGGCAAGUCUGAAGUGAAAUGCCAGGGCUCAACCCUGGAACUGCUUUGGAAACUGUCCUACUAGAGUGCAGGAGAGGUAAGUGGAAUUCCUAGUGUAGCGGUGAAAUGCGUAGAUAUUAGGAGGAACACCAGUGGCGAAGGCGGCUUACUGGACUGUAACUGACGUUGAGGCUCGAAAGCGUGGGGAGCAAACAGGAUUAGAUACCCUGGUA
This 434-nucleotide ribosomal RNA is filed under the name uncultured Lachnospiraceae bacterium. RNAcentral's name for it is "partial 16S ribosomal RNA". It matches the Rfam family "Bacterial small subunit ribosomal RNA", at positions 341 to 792 of the family's 1533-position model. The record is from RNAcentral. Lineage: Bacteria; Bacillati; Bacillota; Clostridia; Lachnospirales; Lachnospiraceae.